CUGGGAGGAACAAGACCAGAAUGUGUUUUCGUGGCUCUUGAAUUCUAUCUCAGAUUCAAUAAGACCUCGUGUGGUAGGAUGCACCACUUCUUUUCAACUCUGGCAGGAAUUGCACUCUUUUUGUAAUGCUCACACUAAAGCAAGAAGUCGCCAACUUAGGGCACAACUUCGUAGUGUUUCACAAGGUUCCAAUUGCAUCUCUGAUUAUUUUUCAAAAAUCAAGAUGUUAACUGAUUCCUUUGCUUCAAUUGGAACGCCAAUUACCUUGGAGGAACAUGUUGAUUUUGUUCUAGACGGUCUCAAUGAAGAAUUUCAUCCACUCAUUACUACUAUUGAAGGACAGACGCAUCCUCCUUCUGUCAAUGAGUUAGAGCAAUUUCUUCUCACUUUUGAAUCAAGGUUAGUGAAAAAUAAACACAAAACUGUGUCUGAUGCGUUUUCUGCUAAUAUUGCUACCACUGAAUCUUCUCCUACUCAAUCCCCUGCUUCUGUCACCAACACUCCUCUUCUUCCUCAUCCACCUUAUCGUGCUCGUUUUCCUUCAAUGCCUCUAUUUCGUGGUUCAUCUAAUCAAACUUAUGGUGGAUCUCGUGGAGGGGGACGCUUUGGCAGACGAGGUCGUGGUAAUAGGUCAUCUGGCAGAACUUCAGUAUACUUCUGUGAGUAUUGCAAUAGACAUGGUCAUGAUGUGACCUGGUGUUAUUUUGCUCCAUAUGAUACCUCCUACACAAUGCCUUCUGCUUAUGAUCACAACUACAAUACUCAACAAUUUUCAGACUCUUAUGCUUCAUUUGGUCAUCCUCCAGUGCUACAGAAUCCUGCUUAUGGAGUGCCUCAUCAUUAUACAAGGCCAAGAACAUCUCUCUAUUCCUAUAAUCAACCAAGACCUUCAUACAAUUCACAUUCCUCAAGUCACUAUUUGACAAAUCCUAAAGGCACUGUUAGACUUGAUACUCAUCAGCCACCUUAUGCAAUGAAUGUGACCAACACUGUUCAAGAUUUCAACAAAACAUCUAUGUGGUAUCCAGAUUCAGGUGCUACAAAUCAUCUAACUGCUGAUUCAUCCUUGUUAGCUGAUCCUACAGAGCAGUUUGCCUCUGAUCACAUCUAUAUGGGUAAUGGUCAUAAAGCUCCUAUUCACCAACACUCCUCUUCUUCCACAUCCCCCUUAUCGUGCUCGUUUUCCUUCAAUGCCUCUAUUUCGUGGUUCAUCUAAUCAAACUUAUGGUGGAUCUCGUGGAGGGGGACGCUUUGGCAGACGAGGUCGUGGUAAUAGGUCAUCUGGCAGAACUUCAGUAUACUUCUGUGAGUAUUGCAAUAGACAUGGUCAUGAUGUGACCUGGUGUUAUUUUGCUCCAUAUGAUACCUCCUACACAAUGCCCUCUGCUUAUGACCACAACUACAAUGCUCACUUUAAGUCCCCUUUUGACUCUAAUAUAUCUAUGUCAUUGUAUAAUCUGCUUCUUGUUCCAUCAUUAUACAAGGCCAAGAACAUCUCUCUAUUCCUAUAAUCAACCAAGACCUUCAUACAAUUCACAUUCCUCAAGUCACUAUUUGACAAAUCCUAAAGGCACUGUUAGACUUGAUACUCAUCAGCCACCUUAUGCAAUGAAUGUGACCAACACUGUUCAAGAUUUCAACAAAACAUCUAUGUGGUAUCCAGAUUCAGGUGCUACAAAUCAUCUAACUGCUGAUUCAUCCUUGUUAGCUGAUCCUACAGAGCAGUUUGCCUCUGAUCACAUCUAUAUGGGUAAUGGUCAUAAAGCUCCUAUUACUUGCAGUGGCAAUGCUCACUUUAAGUCUCCUUUUGACUCUAAUAUAUCUAUGUCAUUGUAUAAUCUGCUUCUUGUUCCCACUAUUACAAAAAAUCUUCUUAGUGUGUCUCAAUUUGCCAAGGACAAUCAUUGCUUUUUUGAAUUCCAUCCUAACCAUUGUCUUGUUAAAUCACAGGCUACUAAACAGGUUCUCCUUAAAGGCUCUCUCACUGCAAAGGGACUCUAUGCCUUCUCAAGUCUUGUUAAACCUUCUUCAAUUCACUGUAAUUUCAGUUCUG
This 2053-nucleotide long non-coding RNA is filed under the name Lupinus angustifolius (narrow-leaved blue lupine). Its description in RNAcentral is "long non-coding RNA (LANG_LNC000794)". Lineage: Eukaryota; Viridiplantae; Streptophyta; Magnoliopsida; Fabales; Fabaceae. The record is from RNAcentral.